This 99-nucleotide small nucleolar RNA is filed under the name Chlamydomonas reinhardtii. Its description in RNAcentral is "CrCD61 snoRNA". The record is from RNAcentral. Lineage: Eukaryota; Viridiplantae; Chlorophyta; Chlorophyceae; Chlamydomonadales; Chlamydomonadaceae.
CGUCGGGGAUGAUGAUAGACAUCAACCACACAGACCUGUUCUGAGACGGGCAAACGCCCGGUGCAGAGAACACUGAUCAUGCACCACUCUGACCCAACG